RNAcentral lists this ribosomal RNA (405 nucleotides) under uncultured bacterium. RNAcentral's name for it is "bacterial SSU rRNA". It matches the Rfam family "Bacterial small subunit ribosomal RNA", at positions 354 to 776 of the family's 1533-position model. The record is from RNAcentral.
GUGGGGAAUAUUGCACAAUGGGGGAAACCCUGAUGCAGCGACGCCGCGUGAGUGAAGAAGUAUCUCGGUAUGUAAAGCUCUAUCAGCAGGAAAGAAAAUGACGGUACCUGACUAAGAAGCCCCGGCUAACUACGUGCCAGCAGCCGCGGUAAUACGUAGGGGGCAAGCGUUAUCCGGAUUUACUGGGUGUAAAGGGAGCGUAGACGGCAGCGCAAGUCUGGAGUGAAAUGCCGGGGCCCAACCCCGGAACUGCUUUGGAAACUGUGCGGCUUGAGUGCGGGAGAGGUAAGCGGAAUUCCUAGUGUAGCGGUGAAAUGCGUAGAUAUUAGGAGGAACACCAGUGGCGAAGGCGGCUUACUGGACCGUAACUGACGUUGAGGCUCGAAAGCGUGGGGAGCAAACAGG